AAUCAACAGUAAACCAUUGUUCAAUCAACAGUAAACCAUUGUUCAAUCAACAGUAAACCAUUGUUCAAUCAACAGUAAACCAUUGUUCAAUCAAUCAACAGUAAACCAUUGUUCAAUCAAUCAACAGUAAACCAUUGUUCAAUCAAUAAACAGUAAACUAUUGUUCAAUCAAUCGUAAACCAUUGUUCAAUCAAUCAACAGUAAACUAUUGUUCAAUCAACAGUAAACUAUUGUUCAAUCAAUCAACAGUAAACCAUUGUUCCAUCUCAGGAUCUUGACACUGUCUCUAUUCCAAAAAUAAUGGAUAGGAGGGUGCUGUUCCCAGGUCAGGGAGGGGGCAAACACACUGUCUAGUCCUAAUAUAAUGGAUAGGAGGGUGCUGUACCCAGGUCAGGGAGGGGGCAAACACACUGUCUAGUCCUAAUAUAAUGGAUAGGAGGGUGCUGUACCCAGGUCAGGGAGGGGGCAAACACACUGUCUAGUCCUAAUAUAAUGGAUAGGAGGGUGCUGUUCCCAGGUCAGAGGAGAAGAAAAUAAAUACGAACAAGUGUACAUUGUAAUUAAUCAAUGAAUGAAUCGGUCAAUCAAUGAAUGAAUAAAUAAAUACACCCCCCGAAGUGCUCUCCUCACAUAUCAACACGGUCUCCAGUGAGGCAGUACAUUGAGAGCAAUACAUUCCUAGGCACCAGGGCAAUAAUACAUUGAGUGAAACAGUAGGAUAAGUAAAGGUUGGACUACGGUGUCUAAAUCCCCUCACUGUGUUUGUUUUGGUGCAGGGGUUAUGUUUCAGCAGUGGGCAUGAAUAAGGAGGUGACGGUUCACAUUCUUCUAUCGGGGGGGGCGCUUUCUUUAUUAGGUAUCCUAAUAUAUGUCUGAGUUCUCUUGUUCUCUUCACGGUAUCAACAUUGUAAACGUUAAGUUCUGUGACUCCCCAGGCCUGAAGAUUAGUUUUAAAAAAAAAAUAUGAUUCUAGAAUAGUCUUGACACCUAUUUCAUCCCUACUCGGGUAGCAUUACAAAGGGUUGUGGGAAAAUCAAUAACUACCUUGAAGUUCUCACUUUGAGUUUUUUUUUUUUUCUUCUCUUCUCCCUGGGACUCUCUUCUGACAUCAGGGAUUCAAAGGUGUUUCACUGUGCCUUUGUAAGCCCACUAUGGAGAGCUGUUGCUCCAGCUAUUGAAGGUAUGUUCUGAUGCUAGCUCACUUGGCUCCAACUUGGACUAGUAUUUGGCUCAUUUAGGUGGGUCAGGAUGGAAUGUUUCACCCGUAUUCACAAGGGUAGUGCUUCUCAAUUUUUUUGGGAGACGGGUGAGGAACAUAUUCACAAAUGUUUAACUCUACACUAACCGUCAAGACACAGCACACUCCAAACAUUAUGAAGAUUAUGGUCAUUUGUACUCAUGUUUACAGUGUUUUGUAAGACUACAAGACUAGAUUUUCCACUACCCGCCAAACACAUACAUGUUCUUUUAAGAAGUGCAUUGUCUCACACGAAAAAUACAUUUCAAAAUAAAAGUAGUGUUCUGAUCACUGGUUAACCACAAUACCAGCACACCCACGUCGUCCUGGUUCUGAAAACAAGACCAGAUUGUUUCGGUAGUAGUAACCUUUUAAACACAGGCGGCAUAGAAGUCCAUUUUUUUUUAAAAUCAUGGUUGGGAGUGGACACAUCAUACAUCAUAUGACACGAUUUGAAUGACAACGGAGCAGUCGUUGAGUCAUUUGGAGGAACGUAUAUAUUUACAAUGAAGUGUUUGACCAUCAUAAUGAACCUGCAAGGUCUACAAGUGCAAAUUCGUAUUGAUCUUCUUUGUUUUUUUAAACUUGACAGGGAUGUGUAAGUGUUCACCGCCAUUACCAGAUACGAGGGUAUCCUGGUCCCAGACAGGCCUCUGUGCUCUUGUCAACUUCAUUGCUGUCAAACGGCAUGACUAUGAGCGACGGGGAGAUGGCAUGAUAGCACAAACACACUGGCUAGGACAAGGGUAGUCUUUGAACUAUUUUAUGAUGCUUUAAAUACAGAACACAAACAAUAGUCAUAGACUAUCCAAAUAAAUGGAAAUACAUGGUCUAGAUGCUCUACAGAUGGUCAUACAAUCAACAGACUGUUGAUAAGCAACUGCUUGCUAAGGUUACGGUUAGGGUAGGGGUUGGGGUAGGGGUUAGGGUAGGGGUAGGGGUUAGGGUAGGGUAGGGGUUAGGGUAGGGGUUAGGGUAGGGGUUAGGGUUUAGGGUAGGGGUUAGGGUAGGGUAGGGGUUAGGGUAGGGGUUAGGGUAGGGUAGGGGUUAGGGUAGGGGUUAGGGUAGGGGUUACAAUAGAUGUUAGGGUAGGGGUUAGGGUAGGGGUUAGGUUUACAAUAGGGGUUAUGGUAGGGGUUAGGUUUAGAAUAAGGGUUAGGGUAGGGGUUAGGUUUACAAUAAGGGUUAGGGUAGGGGUUAGGUUUAGAAUAAGGGUUAGGGUAGGGGUUA
Molecule: long non-coding RNA, 2467 nt
Organism: Oncorhynchus tshawytscha (Chinook salmon)
Lineage: Eukaryota; Metazoa; Chordata; Actinopteri; Salmoniformes; Salmonidae
Source: Ensembl